ACGAACGAGGUCGGUGCAGCGAUUGCGCAGGCUCAGCCAGYGYCUCGGURAACGACAAGAACCCAGAGGGUUCCCACGAGUGCAGCCGAGGUGCGAGCGUAUUUCUCGUAGUCGCGGACCAGCGGCGGUUGGGCCCGGGGCAGAAGGAAUCCAGGAAGGUGCGCAGGCCGGACCCCGUUCGGCAGGCUACUUACAGACUGGGAGCUCCGGUGCCCGGGUCCGACCGAGGUAGGUGGGCAGCCCUUGCCCGUCGGGUGCACGCCGUAGGGCGGAGACCAAUUUCGAAAGAGAGCGGUCACCAGU
This 303-nucleotide unclassified non-coding RNA is filed under the name Demospongiae sp. GW41401. RNAcentral describes it as "sequence contains 28S rRNA gene". Lineage: Eukaryota; Metazoa; Porifera; Demospongiae. The record is from RNAcentral.